ACAAUGAAGAGUUUGAUCCUGGCUCAGGAUGAACGCUAGCGGCAGGCUUAACACAUGCAAGUCGAGGGGUAACAUUGUAGCUUGCUACAGAUGACGACCGGCGAACGGGUGCGUAACGCGUAUAGAAUCUGCCUUGUA
This 138-nucleotide non-coding RNA is filed under the name Tenacibaculum soleae. Its description in RNAcentral is "Bacterial small subunit ribosomal RNA". It matches the Rfam family "Bacterial small subunit ribosomal RNA", at positions 1 to 135 of the family's 1533-position model. The record is from Rfam by way of RNAcentral. Lineage: Bacteria; Pseudomonadati; Bacteroidota; Flavobacteriia; Flavobacteriales; Flavobacteriaceae.